UACAGAGGUCUCAAGCGUUGUUCGGAUUCAUUGGGCGUAAAGGGUGCGUAGGUGGCGCCGUAAGUCGGAUGUGAAAUUUCGGAGCUUAACUCCGAAACUGCAUUCGAUACUGCGGUGCUUGAGGACUGGAGAGGAGACUGGAAUUCAUGGUGUAUCAGUGAAAUGCGUAGAGAUCAUGAGGAAGACCAGUGGCGAAGGCGGGUCUCUGGACAGUUCCUGACACUGAGGCACGAAGGCCAGGGGAGCAAACGGG
RNAcentral lists this ribosomal RNA (253 nucleotides) under uncultured bacterium. RNAcentral's name for it is "partial 16S ribosomal RNA". It matches the Rfam family "Bacterial small subunit ribosomal RNA", at positions 524 to 776 of the family's 1533-position model. The record is from RNAcentral.